UGAGCAGUGUUGCUCUGCCAUCUGUUAGUUUUUAUACAUUUAUCAAUGCACAUAAUGGUUUAAACUGUUCAACUAUAUCCCCUGACGGCUCAUUGGUUGCUGCUGGAUUUUCAGAUUCAUCGCUGAAGAUUUGGGAUAUGGCAAAGCUUGGGCAAUAGGCUGUUGGUU
Humulus lupulus (European hop) is the source of this 168-nucleotide long non-coding RNA. RefSeq lists it as uncharacterized. The record is from RefSeq and is a predicted model, not a curated record. NCBI's taxonomy places the organism in Eukaryota, Viridiplantae, Streptophyta, Magnoliopsida, Rosales, Cannabaceae. The transcript has 3 exons.